CCUACGGGUGGCAGCAGUGGGGAAUAUUGCACAAUGGGGGAAACCCUGAUGCAGCGACGCCGCGUGAGUGAAGAAGUAAUUCGUUAUGUAAAGCUCUAUCAGCAGGGAAGAAAAUGACGGUACCUGAGUAAGAAGCCCCGGCUAACUACGUGCCAGCAGCCGCGGUAAUAAGUAGGGGGCAAGCGUUAUCCGGAUUUACUGGGUGUAAAGGGAGCGGAGACGGAAGUGCAAGUCUGGAGUGUAAGGCGGGGGCUCAACCCCCGGACUGCUCUGGAAACUGUACGGCUGGAGUGCAGGAGAGGUAAGUGGAAUUCCUGGUGUAGCGGUGAAAUGCGUAGAUAUUAGGAGGAACACCAGUGGCGAAGGCGGGUUACUGGACUGUAACUGACGUUGAGGCUCGAAAGCGUGGGGAGCAAACGGGAUUAGAUACCCCUGUAGUC
This 440-nucleotide ribosomal RNA is filed under the name uncultured bacterium. Its description in RNAcentral is "partial 16S ribosomal RNA". It matches the Rfam family "Bacterial small subunit ribosomal RNA", at positions 338 to 795 of the family's 1533-position model. The record is from RNAcentral.